Molecule: long non-coding RNA, 1161 nt
Organism: Vespa velutina
Lineage: Eukaryota; Metazoa; Arthropoda; Insecta; Hymenoptera; Vespidae
Exons: 2
Source: RefSeq, a predicted model, not a curated record
UGACAAUAAGAAUUAAACAGAUUUGAUGAAAUUUGAUAUGAAAGUUCGUACAUUUUUUUACAAACUUACAACUCUAUACGUAAAUAUAUACGAGUUAAAUAUAGAAUGGUAUUAUUAGGUAGUAUAAUAUCUGUAAAUAUCCAUAGAUAAUGUGCAUAGAUAUAUGCAUACAUAUACAUACAUAUCUAAUAAGCAUUAGAAUUGCAUUAUUUGUCAGUUCGGAUUAUCAAGAUUAAAUGUAUACGACAUGUCACUAGUGCAUAUUGUAUCGAUGCGCGUCAUGUAAUAUAAUAUACAUACAUAUAAAUAUUCGUGUGUACGCGCGCGCGUAUGUGUAUGUGUGCGUGUCAUAUAACUAUAAAUAGAAAAGUGUAAAUUCUAUUUGUUAAAUAUUAUGCAACAAAAAAGAAUAACAUCACGCUGAGUUUGUCGAUUCUGCUUUAGCGAGUCAUCGUCGAGUUACGAAGAGACAACGCCCAUGACAUUAUGUACGAUUAAGGACCAUGUAAUCCAGUACUGUAUCUAGAAUGAUGCAACAGGUGUAUGCGCUUAUCCAGGAGGCAUGGUAUAGUAAAGGGUAGUGGGUAUCGUAUAGCUUUGGGUAGCCUUCGAACGAUAUAUUUUCAAAGCAAAUUCAUUGUUCGACUUCGUGUAACGAUAAUUAACUUUCAAAUUGGAAAUCAUGUUAAAUGUUCUCGUCGAGGUUAUAGGAUUUCGUAAAACGUUUCAUCGAAAUGAACUAUGAUUCUUCGUUUUCUUUCUUCUUAUUUUUCUGUUUUUAUUAUUUUGUUUUCUCUUUAUCACGACGUUGAUAUGUCUCUGAUGUUACGAUGUUCAUUUAAAUAUUAUUACUUUAUUUUUCAAUUAUUCUUUUCUUCGAGAAUAAUAUACGUAAGUUAAAAAACAUAAAAGAAUAAUUACUGAUGCGUUCAGAUUGAAGCUCAAUGUUUUAAGUCUUUUAAUUCGAUUCGAAUUUGUGCUAGAAGAUGUACGAACUAAUCGGAAGAGAAAAGGCGAGAAAAGACGAUGGUUUAUCAUUAAAAAAGAAAUUUCAAUAAAUGGCGCGGAAUAUAGAAAGUAUUUACGAGAAAAAGGAAAAACGAGCGACGUCGUUUUAAUCGUAUAGUAUGUGUUGUAAUACAUGUGAAAUGAAUUCAUAUU